GUAAUGCUCUGUUUAGUUGAAAUGUUUGGGCUAUAAUUAUUGAUAAUGGAGGAACUAACCAAUGGAAGUGAUGUUAUUCUCUCUGUAUGUGUGGGAACCUGCAGUCAGUGCACGGGCUUUUCGGGAGGAGAACCGAAGAGGAAGGAGGUGCUGGACGCGCUCUGGUCGACCACUGAGGUUGGUCCCAGGCAGCGGGUCGAGGAGGUCGGAGAAGAUCAAAUGGUGGACAGAAGGCCUUGAUAAUUGAGCUCCAACGGUUGUGCACAAACUGAUUGAACUCUGAUAAGUUUUGGCGCCCUUUUCUUUCUUUUUAUAUUGUAUCGCUAUUAAUUACCUAGUUCCAGUAAGAUUUAUAAAGUGUAAUCUGUAAAACGUACAUUGUGUGCCAUUUGAUAUUAUAUGUGUGAGUUUGUACCAGCGUGCAUUACACAGCAUCUACGCAAACGGGAGACAAGGUUUGGUGGGUGGACGGAUUUUCCCCUAGACAAACACAAGCUGAUAGCCCUAAGCAUUACAUAUUUGUAGAGCAAUUUUGCCUGUACUGUAAAUGGUACAAUAGUUUUGUGUCAUUUAUAUAGAUAAAUAAAUCCCAGGUGAAUAUCCAGAGAUUACCAUCUAUACAUAAGGCUAGUGAGUUUAGGGAAAACUUUGUUGCUUACUCUGCAGGAAUGCUUAGACGUGUAAUGUAGCCAUUAUAUUCUGUAGUCUAAAAUACUGUAUUGAUUCUGGAUUACAUCCUUAACCCACUUUUACUUGAACAGCUGGUUUUAUCAUCACUUCCUAUUUAACUCAAUUUAUCUAGUGAUUUUGAGCAGUUUGUUAUUUGUCCUCAGUCACUGACUUCCAUAAAAACCUUCUUGUUUUCACAUUUAUAGCCAUUCUGUUACCUCAACUCAGUUUUUCAUUAACUCGCAUCCGGUUCCUCAAUCACAUCAAACCACAGUGUUCCAACAGCCCGUUUGUGAUCCUCCACUGAAAGUGUCUCCAGAAUGAUGCCUACUUGUUAUUCUGAAUAAAGACGUCUAUAUCACCAGCUUCGGUGUCCCUACAGUGACUUCAGUCUGGAGAGAGGCAAUUCAGGAUUGUGGCAGGUUUAACUAGAAAGGAUUGAAGGUAGUGGAGAAGGAAAGGUCAGUGCCUUUAAGCCGUUCUGUUUCGUGAAUUCUUCGUGGGAAGUUCGACGUCGGGGAUCGAAGCAAGUGACGUGAAAGAGAACCUAAAUCGUCCUAUAAAGUCUCUCCUUUUAAAUGGACUGUGAGCAUAUUGAACUUUUGGCAAUACCACUUUAAAGAACUGUUUUUGCAAUACCACUUUACGAACUGUUUGAA
Hypanus sabinus (Atlantic stingray) is the source of this 1328-nucleotide long non-coding RNA. RefSeq lists it as uncharacterized. The record is from RefSeq and is a predicted model, not a curated record. NCBI's taxonomy places the organism in Eukaryota, Metazoa, Chordata, Chondrichthyes, Myliobatiformes, Dasyatidae. The transcript is spliced from 3 exons.